Molecule: ribosomal RNA, 440 nt
Filed under: uncultured bacterium
Lineage: Bacteria
Description: partial 16S ribosomal RNA
Rfam family: Bacterial small subunit ribosomal RNA
Source: RNAcentral
CCUACGGGGGGCAGCAGUAGGGAAUAUUGCUCAAUGGGGGAAACCCUGAAGCAGCAACGCCGCGUGGAGGAUGAAGGUUUUCGGAUUGUAAACUCCUUUUGUUAGAGAAGAUAAUGACGUUAUCUAACGAAUAAGCACCGGCUAAAUCCGUGCCAGCAGCCGCGGUAAUACGGAGGGUGCAAGCGUUACUCGGAAUCACUGGGCGUAAAGAGCGCGUAGGCGGGAUAGCAAGUCAGAUGUGAAAUCCUAUGGCUUAACCAUAGAACUGCAUUUGAAACUGUUAUUCUAGAGUAUGGGAGAGGUAGGUGGAAUUCUUGGUGUAGGGGUAAAAUGCGUAGAGAUCAAGAGGAACACUCAUUGCGAAGGCGACCUGCUAGAACAUAACUGACGCUGAUGCGCGAAAGCGUGGGGAGCAAACAGGAUUAGAUACCCUUGUAGUC